UGUCCCUGACCUGGGCAGAGGGACAGUUCUCAUCUCAUGCUGGCCAGGAACAAAACAACCCCUUGUUAUCCCAGCAUGGCUUUUGAGCUAAACCCAUGCUUAGUUCAUGCCUAGGAACAUGG
RNAcentral lists this small nucleolar RNA (122 nucleotides) under Castor canadensis (American beaver). RNAcentral describes it as "Small nucleolar RNA SNORA48 (ENSCCNG00000024794.1)". It matches the Rfam family "Small nucleolar RNA SNORA48". Rfam says of the family: The snoRNA ACA 48 has been identified to guide pseudouridylation of the residue U3797 in the 28S rRNA subunit. Its host gene EIF4A1 (eukaryotic translation initiation factor 4A1) is shared with U67 and snoRNA mgU6-77 Lineage: Eukaryota; Metazoa; Chordata; Mammalia; Rodentia; Castoridae. The record is from Rfam by way of RNAcentral.